UAAACAUAGAUAGUAAAAACACAAAACUAUCCGCCAGAGAACUACAAGCGAAAAGCUCGAAACUCCAAGGACUUGGCGGUGCUUCAUAUCAACCUAGAGGAGCCUGUCCUAUAAUCGAUACCCCACGCUAAACCUUACCACUCCUAGCCAACCAGCCUAUAUACCGCCGUCGUCAGCCUACCUCAUGAGAGAAACAAAGUGAGCAAAAAAGUUAACAACUAAUACGUCAGGUCAAGGUGUAGCACACGGAGAGGCAGAGAUGGGCUACAUUUUUUCUAAAGGGAAAAUACGAACAGCAAGCUGAAACGCUUGCCGAAGGUGGAUUUAGUAGUAAAAUAGGCAAUACUACCUAUUUUAAACCUGCUCUGAAGCGCGCACACACCGCCCGU
Molecule: ribosomal RNA, 389 nt
Filed under: Eremiascincus fasciolatus (narrow-banded sand swimmer)
Lineage: Eukaryota; Metazoa; Chordata; Lepidosauria; Squamata; Scincidae
Description: partial 12S ribosomal RNA
Rfam family: Bacterial small subunit ribosomal RNA
Source: RNAcentral